This 809-nucleotide ribosomal RNA is filed under the name uncultured bacterium. RNAcentral describes it as "bacterial SSU rRNA". It matches the Rfam family "Bacterial small subunit ribosomal RNA", at positions 8 to 816 of the family's 1533-position model. The record is from RNAcentral.
AGAGUUUGAUCCUGGCUCAGGAUGACUCUGGCGGCGUGCUUAACACAUGCAAGUCGAACGAAGCACUUUACUUGAUCUCCUUCGGGAUUGAUUGUUCUGUGACUGAGUGGCGGACGGGUGAGUAACGCGUGGAUAACCUGCCUCACACAGGGGGAUAACAGUUAGAAAUGACUGCUAAUACCGCAUAAGCGCACGGUACCGCAUGGUACAGUGUGAAAAACUCCGGUGGUGUGAGAUGGAUCCGCAUCUGAUUAGGUAGUUGGUGAGGUAACGGCCCACCAAGCCGACGAUAAGUAGCCGACCUGAGAGGGUGACCGGCCACAUUGGGACUGAGACACGGCACAAACUCCUACGGGAGGCAGCAGUGGGGAAUAUUGCACAAUGGGCGAAAGCCUGAUGCAGCAACGCCGCGUGAGUGAAGAAGUAUCUCGGUAUGUAAAGCUCUAUCAGCAGGGAAGAAAAUGACGGUACCUGAUUAAGAAGCCCCGGCUAACUACGUGCCAGCAGCCGCGGUAAUACGUAGGGGGCAAGCGUUAUCCGGAUUUACUGGGUGUAAAGGGUGCGUAGGCGGCUUUGCAAGUCAGAUGUGAAAUCUAUGGGCUCAACCCAUAGCCUGCAUUUGAAACUGCAGAGCUCGAGUGAAGUAGAGGCAGGCGGAAUUCCCCGUGUAGCGGUGAAAUGCGUAGAGAUGGGGAGGAACACCAGUGGCGAAGGCGGCCUGCUGGGCUUUAACUGACGCUGAGGCACGAAAGCGUGGGUAGCAAACAGGAUUAGAUACCCUGGUAGUCCACGCUGUAAACGAUGAUUAC